AGGGUUGUAGCUCAGCAGGCACAGCAUCUGCCUGGCAAGCACAAGGUCCUGAGUUUAAGCCCCAGUACCCCCC
Molecule: transfer RNA, 73 nt
Filed under: Heterocephalus glaber (naked mole-rat)
Lineage: Eukaryota; Metazoa; Chordata; Mammalia; Rodentia; Bathyergidae
Rfam family: tRNA
About the family: Transfer RNA (tRNA) molecules are approximately 80 nucleotides in length.
Source: Rfam by way of RNAcentral